AUUGAACGCUGGCGGAAUGCUUUACACAUGCAAGUCGAGCGGCAGCGCGGGGGCAACCCUGGCGGCGAGCGGCGAACGGGUGAGUAAUACAUCGGAACGUGUCCUUAAGUGGGGGAGUAGCUCGGCGAAAGCCGGAUUAAUACCGCAUAAGCUCUGAGGAGGAAAGCGGGGGCGUCCGUAAGGACCUCGCGCUGUUGGAGCGGCCGAUGUCGGAUUAGCUAGUUGGUGGGGUAAAGGCCCACCAAGGCGACGAUCCGUAGCUGGUCUGAGAGGAUGAUCAGCCACACUGGAACUGAGACACGGUCCAGACUCCUAC
RNAcentral lists this ribosomal RNA (316 nucleotides) under uncultured bacterium. RNAcentral's name for it is "bacterial SSU rRNA". It matches the Rfam family "Bacterial small subunit ribosomal RNA", at positions 30 to 342 of the family's 1533-position model. The record is from RNAcentral.